This 698-nucleotide ribosomal RNA is filed under the name uncultured bacterium. RNAcentral's name for it is "bacterial SSU rRNA". It matches the Rfam family "Bacterial small subunit ribosomal RNA", at positions 8 to 699 of the family's 1533-position model. The record is from RNAcentral.
AGAGUUUGAUCCUGGCUCAGAUUGAACGCUGGCGGUAUGCCUUACACAUGCAAGUCGAACGGCAGCACGGGAGCAAUCCUGGUGGCGAGUGGCGAACGGGUGAGUAAUAUAUCGGAACGUGCCCAGUCGUGGGGGAUAACGCAGCGAAAGCUGUGCUAAUACCGCAUACGAUCUCUGGAUGAAAGCGGGGGACUCGCAAGAGCCUCGCGCGAUUGGAGCGGCCGAUAUCAGAUUAGCUAGUUGGUGGGGUAAAAGCCCACCAAGGCGACGAUCUGUAGCUGGUCUGAGAGGACGACCAGCCACACUGGAACUGAGACACGGUCCAGACUCCUACGGGAGGCAGCAGUGGGGAAUUUUGGACAAUGGGCGCAAGCCUGAUCCAGCAAUGCCGCGUGCAGGAUGAAGGCCUUCGGGUUGUAAACUGCUUUUGUACGGAACGAAACGGUCUGCCCUAAUACGGUGGGCUAAUGACGGUACCGUAAGAAUAAGCACCGGCUAACUACGUGCCAGCAGCCGCGGUAAUACGUAGGGUGCGAGCGUUAAUCGGAAUUACUGGGCGUAAAGCGUGCGCAGGCGGUUAUGUAAGCCAGAUGUGAAAUCCCCGGGCUUAGCCUGGGAAUGGCAUUUGGGACUGCAAGGCUGGAGUGUGGCAGAGGAGACUGGAAUUCCCGGUGUAGCAGUGAAAUGCGUAGAUAUCG